AGGGUUGUAGUUAAUUAUAACAUUUGAAUUGCACUCAAAAAGUACUAAUAUUUCUUAGUCAACCUUA
Molecule: transfer RNA, 67 nt
Filed under: Poecilimon luschani
Lineage: Eukaryota; Metazoa; Arthropoda; Insecta; Orthoptera; Tettigoniidae
Description: tRNA-Ala
Source: RNAcentral